Long non-coding RNA from Scaptodrosophila lebanonensis, 598 nucleotides. RefSeq lists it as uncharacterized. The record is from RefSeq and is a predicted model, not a curated record. Lineage: Eukaryota; Metazoa; Arthropoda; Insecta; Diptera; Drosophilidae. The transcript is spliced from 2 exons.
UACAAAAUUCUGUUGUAAAAAAUUUGUGUUAUUUCUAUCACUCGUAAAAAUGUCACACCCACUAAUCAAUGGCAAGACUUUGCUGGAGAACAUUAAGGCUAUCAAUGAGCCAGUCACGUUUGAUGGCAUCGCCGACUCGUUCGAGGGAUCAGUGAAGAGCUCUGAGGACACAAGCAAGUUGAAGGCGUUACUCGCAUCCGCUGUCCGUCUUGGAUUUGUGGUGCAGUACAAUAACCACUAUUUUUCAGCUACCCAUGUGGAUGACAUUAAGGAGGUAAUGGAAUGGGAGUCGCACACUUCAAUGGGUGCAGUCUCAUGUUUGGGAUCGAUUGACAGUUCGGAAGAGUAGACGCAAUAAGCGGAGCCCCGAAAAUGCGGUCUCAGCGAAUUGCAAAUAAUAAUACGUGCAAAGCCCAAAAGUUCAUGGACCGCUAUAAAUGAAAAGCUGUAUGCCAUUUAUUUCUCAGUUUUGUUCAAUAUACACGUACAUACAAGUACAUACACUGUACAUUCAUUAGCAUCAGCCAAGAGGCUGUUUAAAAUUCUUUUCUGUGCACAACAAAGCGAUUAAUCAAUUAAAUAUGUCAGUCCUGCAAAA